Molecule: long non-coding RNA, 313 nt
Filed under: Heterocephalus glaber (naked mole-rat)
Lineage: Eukaryota; Metazoa; Chordata; Mammalia; Rodentia; Bathyergidae
Description: lncRNA (ENSHGLG00100044894.1)
Source: RNAcentral
CACCUUGGGGUUUGCAGUGGAGCACCUGAUGAGAGGACACUGAGCACUUACUCUCAGGUGCAGCACUGCAGUGGAGCUCAGAGGAGAUGACAUUUACUGAGAAGGAACCACACGCUAAGCAUCCUGUUUCAUUGUCCCAACAGCACACAGAGGUGGAUACUGCUGGUAACCAGUUCUUUUACAGAAGAGUAAACCAGAGUUCUGUGAGGUGAAGUCAACCGUCACAGUAUUUGAUAGACAAGCUAGAUUCUAAUCCUCAUCCUGACUCCAGAGUUCUGUUCUCCCUAGUACUGUCAGGUGCACAAUAAUGGAU